CCAUCGCCAACAAAUCUAUCUCCAUAUGCAUCUCCUGUUUUCCCUUCUAGCCCACGUCGGUAUAGUCCUGAUUCUCAGAGGAUUGGACGGAUUGAUCUGGUCCCCGCUUUAAGUUUAGACAGUCAAUUAGGAAAACCAACUACAUCACCUCCAGUUUCUCCUCGAGGACUUAGACUGCUAUCUUCACCUGUCAGACAAUUGCACGACAAAUUGCAAAAUACACCACAAGUGGGUGUUGUACAUUUGGCUCUUCAGAGUAAUUUUACCCUAAAAGAGAAUCAUGACUUAAUUGUCUUGCAGCACGGUGCAGAUCUGUAUGAGAGCUUAUUGAAGGAAAUGUGCGCUGAUGAGGAUGGUGAUCUAUUGAUAGAUUCUGCUGUGAAAAAUGUGCCCAAAGUUUUUGUUGUGUCAACCUUGGUGAGCAUGAUGCCUGCACAGCCUUUCAUAUUUCGCAACUAUCAGGUAUGAGGCCUAAUAUUUUCAUUGCUGUCUAUUGUGGCUAUUGGCCUACAAUUGUUUGUGGCUGUUAAUGUAUUAUUUCUUAAUAAUCUUUCAUUAUCUUGCCUCCUAUGUCUUUACUUCUAUCUAAAUUGCAGUACCCUACUGGUACACCGGAGGUGACUCUUGCAAUGUCAGAAAGCUCUGGGGUCGUAUUAGUGUCACCUACAGAUGCACAAGUUGGCUAUACUUAUAAGCGCAGUGCAUUCAUUGGAAGUUGUAAGCAUCAAAUAUGGAAGGCUAUCAGAGCUUCCUCAGCUGCUCCUUAUUAUCUUGAUGAUUUCUCAGAUGGUACUGAAUGCUCUGUUAUUGUUUACAUCAGUUGGUUGUAUUUAAGUUUUCAUUAUUGACAUGUCUGGAAUAAGAUUUUCCCUUAUGCGCGGUUUGUCUGUCUGAGACUCUAAAGAAAGUGCCAUCGCCAACAAAUCUAUCUCCAUAUGCAUCUCCUGUUUUCCCUUCUAGCCCACGUCGGUAUAGUCCUGAUUCUCAGAGGAUUGGACGGAUUGAUCUGGUCCCCGCUUUAAGUUUAGACAGUCAAUUAGGAAAACCAACUACAUCACCUCCAGUUUCUCCUCGAGGACUUAGACUGCUAUCUUCACCUGUCAGACAAUUGCACGACAAAUUGCAAAAUACACCACAAGUGGGUGUUGUACAUUUGGCUCUUCAGAGUAACUCAGAUGGCUUGAUAAUGAGGUUUUUGUUAUUAUUUUUAAUGUUUUUCUAUUCAUGAUCACCUUUUAUUCUUCUAUAUGUGGAUGGAAGCAUGAUGUUACUGGC
RNAcentral lists this long non-coding RNA (1275 nucleotides) under Arachis ipaensis. RNAcentral describes it as "long non-coding RNA (AIPA_LNC000230)". Lineage: Eukaryota; Viridiplantae; Streptophyta; Magnoliopsida; Fabales; Fabaceae. The record is from RNAcentral.